UACGAAGGGAGCUAGCGUUGUUCGGAAUCACUGGGCGUAAAGCGCACGUAGGCGGAUGUGUCAGUCAGGGGUGAAAUCCCGGAGCUCAACUUCGGAACUGCCUUUGAUACAGCACGUCUUGAGUCCGAUAGAGGUGGGUGGAAUUCCUAGUGUAGAGGUGAAAUUCGUAGAUAUUAGGAAGAACACCGGUGGCGAAGGCGGCCCACUGGAUCGGUACUG
Molecule: ribosomal RNA, 219 nt
Filed under: uncultured bacterium
Lineage: Bacteria
Description: partial 16S ribosomal RNA
Rfam family: Bacterial small subunit ribosomal RNA
Source: RNAcentral